RNAcentral lists this long non-coding RNA (2867 nucleotides) under Sus scrofa (pig). RNAcentral's name for it is "lncRNA (ENSSSCG00015058135.1)". The record is from RNAcentral. Lineage: Eukaryota; Metazoa; Chordata; Mammalia; Artiodactyla; Suidae.
UUUUUUUAUUUUUUUAUUUUUUUUUUUGCUAUUUCUUUGGGCUGCUCCUGCGGCAUAUGGAGGUUCCCAGGCUCGGGGUCUAAUCGGAGCUGUAGCUGCCAGCCUACGCCGGAGCCACAGCAACGCGGGAUCUGAGCCGCGUCUGCAACCUACACCACAGCUCACGGCAACACAGGGAAAGAACUCCUACAGCUCUCAGUUUUCUCUUCUCACUCUAGUCUCGUGGUCACAAACCAUAUCCAACUAUUCUACUACAGAAUUGAAGCCAUGACAGAUAAUGACUACAGUAGGACCACAAUUUAUAAAAACAUCUUAUUAUAAAGUUUAAGUUACUGACUGAGAAUGUGGAGCCAAAAUGUGUUCAUUCGAAAGAGCUCAGGAGUUCUCAUUGUGGCUCAGUGGGUUUAGAACUCAACACAGUCUCCUCCGUGAGAAUGUGGGUUUGCGGCCUGGCCUCACUCAGUGGGCUAAGGAUCCAUGUUGCCACAAGCUGCAGUACAGAUCACAGGUGAGGCUCAGAUGCAGUGUUGCUGUGGCUGUGGCACCCAGGAACUUCCAUACGCCACAGGUACAACUAUAAAAAGAUAAAAAAGGAAAAAAAAAAAAAGACAGCAAGCGAGCUUAAAGGUGUUCACAAGUAGUUCCUUUGUCUAGUUAUCAAUAAAAGUACAAGAAGCAGCUAUCUUUUUCAGAAAGCAGACAGUUAAAGAGAACAAAAAUUCCUAAAGGACAUGACAGUUUAUAAUUAUUUCCCCAAUACUCAUUCAUUACUAUAUCAAACUAUAAUCUUUUUGAUCUUGCACCCCUGGCCAAAAAGGAAUGGGGUGGAGAGAAACAGUCAUUUCCAUGGGAAAUUCACCUCAAAGAGGCAGAAAAAAGAUGGGGUUAACACCAUUUAGCAUAGGAAGAAAUCCACAAACAAGUAUAGAACCACCCAAAGGCAGUAAAAGAACUAAGGUAAAAUUCCAGCUUAACACACAUGAUAAAGCAAAACACAAAAGAGAUUCAGACUUGUCCACUCUUCUCAGCACAACUAAAAAGUCACAGACUAGCAUCUUUUUAAAAAAGCAUUAUCGGCAUUCUCAUCAUGGCUCAGCAGAAAAGAAUCCGACUAGUAUCCAUGAGGACAAAGGUUCAAUCUUUGGCCUCACCCAGUGGGUUAAGGAUCAGGUGUUGCCAUGAGCUGUGGUGCAGGUUGAAGAUGAAACUCAGAUCUGGUGUUGCUGUGGCUAUGGUAUAUAGGCCAGUGGCUACAGCUCCAAUUUGACCCCCAGCCUGGGAACUCCAUGUGCCACAGAUCCGAACCUAAAAGAGACAAAAAAAAAAAAAAAAAGAAAGAAAUUAUCAGCCACAGGAAUUUCCUCCUAAUGGUUUGCAAAUGAAAGCAGAAAAUUUAUCUAUACAUCUACUAUAGCAAUAUUAUUACAGAGGUUUUUCAAGUCAUAACACAACUCUUUGCUGAGACUAGUUAAGAUGGUAAGGCCAAUUAAUAGGUGUCAGCUGCCUAUAUCUUUUUUGGUUUCAAACACUUUAGCCCUCUUUUUGAAAAACAUACAGGAAUAAAGUGUUACCACUUAGCAGGAAAUCUCUGCCUGCAAAGAAAGUGAAUAUUUAUAGACGCGAAGGCUAAAGGGGCUCUCAAAGGAUACCCAGUUUCCUCACAAGGCUGCACCUGUCACAUCUGCUCCAAUCCUUAAACCUGAGAACUGUAUCUCUUCCUCACUUAAAGCUUGUACGGCUAAGUUCAAAAAAGACAACUUGAAUACUUCUCUGUGACAACACAUUUAAUUUAUUUAAUCAUCUAGUAUUAGUUGAAACACAAAUAGGUUACCGCUAAUUCUGAAAACGAAAAAAAAAAAAAGAAUCUAGCUUCCACUGUGCAUUUAAAGAUAUAUAAAUCUGAGAAAUUAUUGUUAAGGCUGACCUAAAAUCAAGAACAGGCAACGAGUAUAACAGUGCAUUAUAACCUCUCGCCAACGUAAACAGUUUAAGGGUAGACAUAUGCUCUUGGUCUAUGACCACAAGGCCACAAGUCCUUUAGUCAAGGAGUGUCCUGAAGUUAAAGAAUGUUUAAGGUGAAUACAUUUAUUUGUUAAGGAAAGAAUGUCUAUUUCACUCUGCAGUAUCUCGCCUCUCAGCAAAUGAGGGUGAGCCGGAAGGGCAGGGGGCUGCGGGCGGGGUGGGGGUUGUUGGAAGAAGAGGCCGAUCUAAAGUGGAGAGCGGAGUCUGUGGGGCAGAGUGUAUCAGAGUGUAGGGUUGCAGCCUCCCUCUAGCUCCACCCUACCUAGAGGUAGUGAUGAAGCACCGGUCGCACGUUAGGAGAAGAACGCAGAAACCCAAAAGCUGCUGUCAAGGAGCAGGGACUAGGGAUGCGGAUUGAGGUAGGGGUAGGAAAGGUGUUAAGGAGGAGAGAGUGAGAAGAGCUAGCUUACUCUUCCUCACCACCUCUAGAGACAGGGCCUAGCCAGAGGCCUGCGACCGAGCAACACCCUAUAGUCGCUACCACCCUAAGGCCCCAACUUGGACCUCUAGGGUCAGAACCCGCCAGGUGCUGAGCGCAUGCGCACCGCGUCGCCAGGCCGCAACUUCCCAGCUCACCCCACCCCACUAGCCGCCGCCGCCGCCGCCUCCUCCCGGGCACAGACAGUAUCGGGCCCGCACUGCCUCUCGCCGGAGCAGGGCCUCGGAACCUCUCAGCCGCGGGCGCCGCCUCCCAGGCCCCAGACUCGGGUAUCACCUGGAUCUCGGCCUUCGGGUUUACACCUCCUGUAGACUUGCAAGGGCCUCAGACCUGGAAACGUUUCUUCAAAUCUGGGCGCCGCCGGCGUCCUCCGAACUUGCUUCAGUUUAAGCUCACCGCCUUCCUG